CCUACGGGUGGCAGCAGUAGGGAAUAUUGCUCAAUGGGGGAAACCCUGAAGCAGCAACGCCGCGUGGAGGAUGAAGGCUUUCGGAUUGUAAACCCCUUUUGUUAGAGAAGAUAAUGACGGUACCUAACGAAUAAGCACCGGCUAACUCCGUGCCAGCAGCCGCGGUAAUACGGAGGGUGCAAGCGUUAUUCGGAAUCACUGGGCGUAAAGGGGGCGUAGGCGGGAAAGCAAGUCUGAUGUGAAAUCCUAGGGCUUAACCAUAGAACUGCAUUUGAAACUGUUAUGCUAGAGUAUGGGAGAGGUAGGUGGAAUUCGUGGUGUAGCGGUGAAAUGCGUAGAGAUCAAGAGGAAUAC
This 354-nucleotide ribosomal RNA is filed under the name uncultured bacterium. RNAcentral's name for it is "partial 16S ribosomal RNA". It matches the Rfam family "Bacterial small subunit ribosomal RNA", at positions 338 to 709 of the family's 1533-position model. The record is from RNAcentral.